GACGAACGCUGGCGGCGUGCCUAAUACAUGCAAGUUGAGCGCUGAAGGUUGGUACUUGUACCAACUGGAUGAGCAGCGAACGGGUGAGUAACGCGUGGGGAAUCUGCCUUUGAGCGGGGGACAACAUUUGGAAACGAAUGCUAAUACCGCAUAAAAACUUUAAACACAAGUUUUAAGUUUGAAAGAUGCAAUUGCAUCACUCAAAGAUGAUCCCGCGUUGUAUUAGCUAGUUGGUGAGGUAAAGGCUCACCGAGGCGAUGAUACAUAGCCGACCUGAGGGGGUGAUCGGCCACAUUGGGACUGAGACACGGCCCAAACUCCUACGGGAGGCAGCAGUAGGGAAUCUUCGGCAAUGGACGAAAGUCUGACCGAGCAACGCCGCGUGAGUGAAGAAGGGUUUCGGAUCGUAAAACUCUGUUGGUAGAGAAGAACGUUGGUGAGAGUGGAAAGCUCAUCAAGUGACGGUAACUACCCAGAAAGGGACGGCUAACUACGUG
Molecule: ribosomal RNA, 497 nt
Filed under: uncultured bacterium
Lineage: Bacteria
Description: partial 16S ribosomal RNA
Rfam family: Bacterial small subunit ribosomal RNA
Source: RNAcentral